This 253-nucleotide ribosomal RNA is filed under the name uncultured bacterium. Its description in RNAcentral is "partial 16S ribosomal RNA". It matches the Rfam family "Bacterial small subunit ribosomal RNA", at positions 524 to 776 of the family's 1533-position model. The record is from RNAcentral.
UACGUAGGGUGCAAGCGUUGCCCGGAUUUACUGGGCGUAAAGCGCGCGCAGGCGGCUAUCCAAGUCAGUGGUGAAAGCCCGGAGCUCAACUCCGGAACUGCCAUUGAAACUGUUUAGCUUGAGUAUGAGAGAGGUGAGUGGAAUUCCCAGUGUAGAGGUGAAAUUCGUAGAUAUUGGGAAGAACACCGGUGGCGAAGGCGGCUCACUGGCUCAUUACUGACGCUCAGGCGCGACAGCGUGGGGAUCAAACAGG